UAUUUGAUAUGUAAUGUAUUAUUUCAUAAUCUUAAUCUGGUAAUAAUAUAGACAUUAUUUUAAGGAUUAACUUUAUGGCAAGUAUAUAAAGAGACUAUUAAAGAGGAAUAGCUGUAUAUUAGUAAAUAAACAAUAGGUAUAAUCUAUUGGUGAAAUUUUUGAAAGAAAUAACGAAGCGAAUUGAAGUAUCUUAGUAGCUUCAGGAAAAUAAAUCAAACGAGAUUCUAUUAGUAGUGUGAAUGAAAAUAGAUAAUAGGCUUCAAGUAAAAUGGGUUAAUCUGUUUGAAUAUAGGGGAACCUUCCUCUAAGCCUUAAUAUAAUAUACAAGUGGUAGAGAAAAGUACCGUGAGGGAUAUCUUUAAUUAGUAGUCUUAAAAGCAGCUCGAGGUAAGUUUAAUAAACAUAUGAGAGCGUACCUUUUGUAUAAUGGGUCAGCAAGUUCUAAUUAGAUGCAAGCAAGUUUAAGGUUAAAAAUUAUAAAAUAUGUAAUUAAACGUAUUGUCAUUUUUGACUUAAAAGGUAACUAAUAGUUAUUCAAAAAAAAAAUAGCUAAGUAACUAUUGUGAAAAUAAGAUUGUGAUCUUAUAGAUAGUAAAUACAAUAUAGUCAUGUAAAGUAAGUCAAGAAGAAACGCCUGGAGCGUUAUUAAUAUAAACUAGUUAUACGAUUUGCCUAGAUAAUCCAAUUAUUAAUUAAUGAUGUAGUAUCUAAAUAGAGACCCGAAGAGUAGUGAUCUUACCAUGAUCAGGCUUAUAAAAGGCCGAAUGGGUUAUCGUUGUAAAGAUAUCCAAAGAAUUGUGGUAAGUUAGUGAAAGACAACCCUGACUACUAUAGCUGGUUUUCCGCGAAACAUAUGUAAGUAUGUGGUUUAAUUACAUCAUAGCAGGUACAGAACUGUGAUCUCGGACAAUUGUGCAUUCUUACCAUUGAGGGGAUUUAUACCAUCUUUUUGGCUAAGAUGCCCUGUGCAUAUGGGGGGGUCGUGAAGACUCUAUCCGCGAGGAUUUGCUCUCGGAAGGGCAAUGAUGAAUGUUGAACUAUCAGACAUUUAACGAUAAGGUUGUAUGUCAAAAGGGAAACAGCCCAGAACAAGUGUUUAAGGUUCCAAAGUUUUUGUUAAGUGAAAGUAAGGAAGUAUUUAAACUAUACAACCAGGAAAUAGGCUUAGAAGCGGCCAUUUUUUAAAGAUCUCGUAACAGAGCACUGGUUCACCGGGUUAUUAAUAUUUAACCUGUUAAGUUAAAAGCGCCGAAGAUAUAACGGAUCUAAACAAAACACCGACACCUUGUCCAUAAUAAUAAAAGGUAAUUUUGUUAAGGGAAAGGUAAUAACUUAAGUAAGAUUAGUUAGGACUAAUAUAAUAACAUUAAUUACAUCUUUAUACUUUAAAAACUUUUUAAGUAUUGUUUAUGGGGUAGCGGAACAUUGGGUACAUAGGAUUAGGAAUAGAAAUGAUAUGAUAUAGCAAUAUUAUAAAAAAAAAUAGGCAUAGAUAUCAGAAGCUGAUUAGCUUUAAUUUUUAAGGUUAAUCAUAUAAAACGCGUUUUAUAUAAAGUUUAUAGAACGAGUAGCUAUUUCCAUUAUUACUUUAUUGUAAUAUACUCGCCAUAAAGCGGGAUUCCAUUGAUAUAUCCCAAGUGAGAAUGCUGACAUGAGUAACGAAAAAGACGAUAACUUGGAUAGAUUCAUACAUAUGUAUACAUGAUUGAACAAAAAAACAAGGAGUCUCGCCUUAAGCUUAUGGGAUAUUAAGCGGUCUCUAAAUUUAACCUAAAGGGUAAAAUGAUGAGGUAAUUGGUGUUUUGACAACAUAAACUUUUGAGGGGAAUGUUCUGGAAAAUAAACAUCUUUCUGAGGGUAUUAGAUGUAUACCGAUAGAGAGGUAGAUGAAAACUAUAGAGAUUUUUUUCUACUACUAUUAAGAAAAAUUAACCGUACCUAAAAACUACCGCAAGUAAGCUAGUAGAGAAUACGAAGGCGUUUGAGCUAACAAUCAUUAAGGAACUCGGCAAAUUGACACCGUAACUGAGGGAGAAGGUGUGCCAUUCCUACUGAGUAAUGUCAGGCUAGGAAGAGGAGACAUAGAAUGGUGUUGCACGACUGUUUAAUUAAAACACAGCACUUUGCGUAAGAUGUAAAUCAAUGUAUAGAGUGCGCUAUCUGCCCUAUGAUGGCUGGUUAACGGAGUUACUUAGGCGAAUAUAGUAGUUUAGGUUUUGAAGGAACCCCCAUUUAAUGGCGGCCUUAUCUAUAAGGGUCCUAAGGUAGCGAAAUACCUUGGCAUUUAAAUGAUGUCGCGCAUGAAUGAUCUCACGAUGCAACAGCUGUCUCAAUGAUUGGCUCAGUGAAAUUGGAAUGGCAGUGAAGAUACUGCCUAUCUCUAGAUAGACGAGAAGACCCCAUGCAGCUUUACUGUUACUAGUUAUUGGGUAUAACGGAAAAAGUAUUAGUGUAUAAGGUAGUUGGAUGGCAUAAUUGAAACACCUUUACUUACGUGUUAUAUUACAAGAAUAGGUUUACAUUCAUUUGGUUUACUGACGUCUCAAUGUAAUCCAGAAUAAGGAGAUAAAUCUCAGGAGACAAUGAUUAGCAGAUGGUUUAUGCGGGGCACAGAUCCCAUAAAGAGUACCUGGGAGUAUCCAAAUUUAAUUUUUGUAAUAAGCUAAACGCUAUACAAUAUAUAGAGCUUUUAUUUAAUUAUAGCUUUAUAUAUAUUUCAUUUUUUAUUGAAUUUUUAUAAAAUUUAGUUUGUUAUUUUUUAUAUUUACAAUUUUUUGUCUUUGAACAAAAAAAAGUAUCUAUGAUUAAUUCAUUUAUAUUUCUAUUUGAGUUAGAACUAAAACAAUUUACAUUAAGUAAGAUUUUACCUAUGUGGAAAAUAGGUGUAUAUAUGGUAUUAGAAUAAAUAGUUUAUCAGAAUUAUCAUUUAUUGUAACACUAUUAGUUGUUUUUUUUUAACGUAAGAAAAAUGAUAUUGAUAUAUACUUCAAAAGUUUAAUGGCUUAAUCUUGCUUUACUGUUUGACAUACACGUCUAUCAGUUGCGUAAGCAGGGCAUAAAGAUCGCAAGACACAGGAAGGAAAGGUCUUGUAUUAUUGAAAAAGCUACGCUGGGGAUAACAGGCUAAUUGCGCAAGAGAGUACAAAUUGAGUGCGCAGUUUGGCACCUCGAUGUCGGCUUAGCUCAUCCACAUGAAUGUAGGAAUCAUGAAGGGUACGACUGUUCGUCGAUUAAAGAGCUACACGAGCUGGGUUAAAUACGUCGUGAGACAGUAUGGUUUCUAUCUUCUAGAGGAAAUUAGAGUAAAAUAAGGAUAGCCCCUUCGUACGAAAGGAGUUGGGUAUGCUAAUCAAUGGUUUACCUGUUGUUUAUAGGCUUAAUAUUAACAGAUUAUAGAUUUUAAGAAUAGGUUCGGAUUCUUUCAUAGAUGUAGGAUAUCUAUGGGAGAAGAGGAAUAAGAGAGAUUAAUUGAUAAGAUUUUAAUUUCCUAUGUCAAAAAAGCUUCGUUGGGUAAUACUUUGUGCUUAAGUUAGGGAAUGUAAUAAACAUGAUUUAGUGAAGGAACUAAUAAGGGCGCUAAACUCGAGUAUUUAUUGAUACUACUGGUAAUUAAAUAUUAUAAGGUAGUACAUAAUAUAGGCAUGGCAGGAAAGCUAAGUUAGUUAAGAUAAGUGCUGAAUGCAUCUAGGCACGAAGCUUACCUUAAGAUACUCUUAGAUUCGUAAUAUAACAUUACGAGGGUAAUAGUUAGAAGGAGAUAAUUUCAUAAAUUUUUAUGUAAUUGAGUAUUUGACUAACAUAAUUAUAUAUACCAAUAGGCUUUGGCUGAAAGGGCUUUAAUGUUCUUAGGUAUAAAGUACUAAUUUAUUACUAACUAAAUACGAUACUUAUCGUUAAAUA
RNAcentral lists this ribosomal RNA (3900 nucleotides) under Periconia digitata. RNAcentral describes it as "large subunit ribosomal RNA". The stretch from base 77 to 3321 matches the Rfam family "Bacterial large subunit ribosomal RNA". Lineage: Eukaryota; Fungi; Ascomycota; Dothideomycetes; Pleosporales; Periconiaceae. The record is from RNAcentral.